AAUGGGUCAGCGACUUAUAUUCUGUAGCAAGGUUAACCGAAUAGGGGAGCCGAAGGGAAACCGAGUCUUAACUGGGCGUUAAGUUGCAGGGUAUAGACCCGAAACCCGGUGAUCUAGCCAUGGGCAGGUUGAAGGUUGGGUAACACUAACUGGAGGACCGAACCGACUAAUGUUGAAAAAUUAGCGGAUGACUUGUGGCUGGGGGUGAAAGGCCAAUCAAACCGGGAGAUAGCUGGUUCUCCCCGAAAGCUAUUUAGGUAGCGCCUCGUGAAUUCAUCUCCGGGGGUAGAGCACUGUUUCGGCAAGGGGGUCAUCCCGACUUACCAACCCGAUGCAAACUGCGAAUACCGGAGAAUGUUAUCACGGGAGACACACGGCGGGUGCUAACGUCCGUCGUGAAGAGGGAAACAACCCAGACCGCCAGCUAAGGUCCCAAAGUCAUGGUUAAGUGGGAAACGAUGUGGGAAGGCCCAGACAGCCAGGAUGUUGGCUUAGAAGCAGCCAUCAUUUAAAGAAAGCGUAAUAGCUCACUGGUCGAGUCGGCCUGCGCGGAAGAUGUAACGGGGCUAAACCAUGCACCGAAGCUGCGGCAGCGACGCUUAUGCGUUGUUGGGUAGGGGAGCGUUCUGUAAGCCUGUGAAGGUGUGCUGUGAGGCAUGCUGGAGGUAUCAGAAGUGCGAAUGCUGACAUAAGUAACGAUAAAGCGGGUGAAAAGCCCGCUCGCCGGAAGACCAAGGGUUCCUGUCCAACGUUAAUCGGGGCAGGGUGAGUCGACCCCUAAGGCGAGGCCGAAAGGCGUAGUCGAUGGGAAACAGGUUAAUAUUCCUGUACUUGGUGUUACUGCGAAGGGGGGACGGAGAAGGCUAUGUUGGCCGGGCGACGGUUGUCCCGGUUUAAGCGUGUAGGCUGGUUUUCCAGGCAAAUCCGGAAAAUCAAGGCUGAGGCGUGAUGACGAGGCACUACGGUGCUGAAGCAACAAAUGCCCUGCUUCCAGGAAAAGCCUCUAAGCAUCAGGUAACAUCAAAUCGUACCCCAAACCGACACAGGUGGUCAGGUAGAGAAUACCAAGGCGCUUGAGAGAACUCGGGUGAAGGAACUAGGCAAAAUGGUGCCGUAACUUCGGGAGAAGGCACGCUGAUAUGUAGGUGA
RNAcentral lists this ribosomal RNA (1149 nucleotides) under Escherichia coli. RNAcentral describes it as "partial 23S ribosomal RNA". It matches the Rfam family "Bacterial large subunit ribosomal RNA", at positions 614 to 1765 of the family's 2925-position model. The record is from RNAcentral. Lineage: Bacteria; Pseudomonadati; Pseudomonadota; Gammaproteobacteria; Enterobacterales; Enterobacteriaceae.